AAAAAGGCAGUGAAGACCCACAGUAAGCCGCUGUGAAUCCGUGACAGAGAGCCCUUUCGCGGUUGAGAGAGGGGCGACGGAGACAGCAGAUGAAAUUCAGGUUGGAGCCGCAUUUCUGAAAGGCAAAUGCUCCGAAUCCGUUUUCGGGCGGAUUUGAAAAGACAAUCCGAGGAGAGAGCAUAGCCGAGUAGGUGAUGACGUUGGCGCGCGUUAGGCGCAUGGAGAGUCUGUAUUUACGCAGAAAUCAGGGUGGUACCGCGGAGUUAUGUCUUCGUCCCUUCG
Molecule: non-coding RNA, 282 nt
Filed under: Shuttleworthella satelles
Lineage: Bacteria; Bacillati; Bacillota; Clostridia; Lachnospirales; Lachnospiraceae
Description: Shuttleworthia satelles T-box sequence
Rfam family: T-box leader
About the family: Uncharged tRNA acts as the effector for transcription antitermination of genes in the T-box leader family.
Source: RNAcentral